This 482-nucleotide ribosomal RNA is filed under the name uncultured Flavobacteriaceae bacterium. RNAcentral's name for it is "bacterial SSU rRNA". It matches the Rfam family "Bacterial small subunit ribosomal RNA", at positions 28 to 505 of the family's 1533-position model. The record is from RNAcentral. Lineage: Bacteria; Pseudomonadati; Bacteroidota; Flavobacteriia; Flavobacteriales; Flavobacteriaceae.
GAUGAACGCUAGCGGCAGGCCUAACACAUGCAAGUCGAGGGGUAACAGGAAAAGCUUGCUUUUCGCUGACGACCGGCGGACGGGUGAGUAACGCGUAUACAAUCUACCUUUUGCUAAGGGAUAGCCCAGAGAAAUUUGGAUUAAUACCUUAUAGUAUAUAGCUACGGCAUCGUAAUUAUAUUAAAGGUUACGGCAUAAGAUGAGUAUGCGUCCUAUUAGCUAGUAGGUGUGGUAACGGCACACCUAGGCAACGAUAGGUAGGGGCCCUGAGAGGGGGAUCCCCCACACUGGUACUGAGACACGGACCAGACUCCUACGGGAGGCAGCAGUGAGGAAUAUUGGGCAAUGGACGGAAGUCUGACCCAGCCAUGCCGCGUGCAGGAAGACUGCCCUAUGGGUUGUAAACUGCUUUUAUACAGGAAGAAACAUCUCUACGUGUAGAGAUUUGACGGUACUGUAAGAAUAAGGAUCGGCUAACUCCG